Molecule: ribosomal RNA, 501 nt
Filed under: uncultured bacterium
Lineage: Bacteria
Description: partial 16S ribosomal RNA
Rfam family: Bacterial small subunit ribosomal RNA
Source: RNAcentral
AUUGAACGCUGGCGGCAGGCUUAACACAUGCAAGUCGAGCGGAGAUGAGGUGCUUGCACCUUAUCUUAGCGGCGGACGGGUGAGUAAUGCUUAGGAAUCUGCCAUUUAGUGGGGGACAACAUUCCGAAAGGAAUGCUAAUACCGCAUACGUCCUACGGGAGAAAGCAGGGGAUCUUCGGACCUUGCGCUAAAUGAUGAGCCUAAGUCGGAUUAGCUAGUUGGUGGGGUAAAGGCCUACCAAGGCGACGAUCUGUAGCGGGUCUGAGAGGAUGAUCCGCCACACUGGGACUGAGACACGGCCCAGACUCCUACGGGAGGCAGCAGUGGGGAAUAUUGGACAAUGGGCGGAAGCCUGAUCCAGCCAUGCCGCGUGUGUGAAGAAGGCCUUUUGGUUGUAAAGCACUUUAAGCGAGGAGGAGGCUACUAGUACUAAUACUACUGGAUAGCGGACGUUACUCGCAGAAUAAGCACCGGCUAACUCUGUGCCAGCAGCCGCCGUAA